This 413-nucleotide ribosomal RNA is filed under the name Enterococcus faecium. Its description in RNAcentral is "bacterial SSU rRNA". It matches the Rfam family "Bacterial small subunit ribosomal RNA", at positions 1119 to 1533 of the family's 1533-position model. RNAcentral also lists the same sequence under 1 other name. Lineage: Bacteria; Bacillati; Bacillota; Bacilli; Lactobacillales; Enterococcaceae. The record is from RNAcentral.
CAUCAUUCAGUUGGGCACUCUAGCAAGACUGCCGGUGACAAACCGGAGGAAGGUGGGGAUGACGUCAAAUCAUCAUGCCCCUUAUGACCUGGGCUACACACGUGCUACAAUGGGAAGUACAACGAGUCGCGAAGUCGCGAGGCUAAGCUAAUCUCUUAAAGCUUCUCUCAGUUCGGAUUGCAGGCUGCAACUCGCCUGCAUGAAGCCGGAAUCGCUAGUAAUCGCGGAUCAGCACGCCGCGGUGAAUACGUUCCCGGGCCUUGUACACACCGCCCGUCACACCACGAGAGUUUGUAACACCCGAAGUCGGUGAGGUAACCUUUUGGAGCCAGCCGCCUAAGGUGGGAUAGAUGAUUGGGGUGAAGUCGUAACAAGGUAGCCGUAUCGGAAGGUGCGGCUGGAUCACCUCCUUU